AGCAGCCGCGGUAAUUCCAGCUCCAAUAGCGUAUAUUAAAGUUGUUGCAGUUAAAAAGCUCGUAGUUGAAUUUCGGGAUCAACACGUCGGUCGUGCUUCGGUACGUACUGGCGUCAUUGAUUUCUCCCUUCUGACGAACCAUGAUGUCAUUAACUUGGUGUCAUGGGAAAUCAGGACUGUUACUUUGAAAAAUUAGAGUGUUUAAAGCAGGCUCACGCUUGAAUACAUUAGCAUGGAAUAAUGAAAUAGGACGUUCGAUCCUAUUUUGUUGGUUUUUAGGAUCAACGUAAUGAUUAAUAGGGAUAGUUGGGGGCAUUAGUAUUCAAUUGUCAGAGGUGAAAUUCUUGGAUUUAUUGAAGACUAACUACUGCGAAAGCAUUUGCCAAGGAUGUUUCCAUUAAUCAAGAACGAAAGUUAGGGGAUCGAAGACGAUCAGAUACCGUCGUAGUCUUAACCAUAAACUAUAGCCGACUAGGGGAUCGGAUGAUGUUAAUUUUAAUGACUCAUUC
RNAcentral lists this ribosomal RNA (509 nucleotides) under uncultured Glomus. RNAcentral's name for it is "SSU rRNA". It matches the Rfam family "Eukaryotic small subunit ribosomal RNA", at positions 569 to 1081 of the family's 1831-position model. The record is from RNAcentral. Lineage: Eukaryota; Fungi; Glomeromycota; Glomeromycetes; Glomerales; Glomeraceae.